UACGGAGGAUGCGAGCGUUAUCCGGAUUUAUUGGGUUUAAAGGGUGCGUAGGCGGACUGUCAAGUCAGUGGUAAAAUUGAGAGGCUCAACCUCUUCCCGCCGUUGAAACUGGUGGUCUUGAGUGGAUGAGAAGUACGCGGAAUGCGUGGUGUAGCGGUGAAAUGCAUAGAUAUCACGCAGAACUCCGAUUGCGAAGGCAGCGUACCGGCAUCCAACUGACGCUGAGGCACGAAAGCGUGGGGAUCAAACAGG
Molecule: ribosomal RNA, 252 nt
Filed under: uncultured bacterium
Lineage: Bacteria
Description: partial 16S ribosomal RNA
Rfam family: Bacterial small subunit ribosomal RNA
Source: RNAcentral